UACAGAGGGUGCGAGCGUUAAUCGGAAUUACUGGGCGUAAAGCGCGCGUAGGCGGCUUUGCAAGUCGGGUGUGAAAUCCCCAGGCUCAACCUGGGAACUGCAUUCGAGACUGCAUUGCUAGAGUAUGGGAGAGGGAAGUGGAAUUUCAGGUGUAGCGGUGAAAUGCGCAGAUAUCGGGAAGAACACCCGUGGCGAAGGCGGCACUCUGGGACGGUACUGACGCUGAGACGCGAAAGCGUGGGGAGCGAACAGG
Molecule: ribosomal RNA, 253 nt
Filed under: uncultured bacterium
Lineage: Bacteria
Description: partial 16S ribosomal RNA
Rfam family: Bacterial small subunit ribosomal RNA
Source: RNAcentral